AGUGCUGAAGGAGGCCAGAGAGUGCAGCUGCCUGGAGGCACAAGCCUCCUCCUGACCCAGGGGACUCCAGGGAGACCAAAGCAGCUGUAAAGAUGAGAGAAAUUGAAAAAGAGAAAGGAAAACUCUCCAACCUGGCUCUCAGCUUCUGCAUCUCCAUGCAAGACCAGAGACCCACAUCACUCCCUCACUCCACCCAGUUCCACUCCAACAAUACCUGGGCCCUGCCAGGAGUGAGAAAACGGUUCUCUUCCUGUGGAUAGGUUGCCCUCUUCUCUUCCAGAUCAGGGUAUUCAUUGGUGCUGGGGAAUCCACAGCCCUCUUCGCCAAGCACCACUGGCUCAGAUGCAGCUCCAGAGCUGCCCCACUGGGCCUUCUUCAGUCUGUGGAGACUUUAGGCUGAGGAGAGAAGUGCCUGGAGGCCAGGCUUCCUGUCUCUCCAUUCUUCACCUUUCUGUUCUGAAAUGCCUCCUGCUGGGACUCCAGGGAGUUGUCAUUUGACCUUUAACUCUCCACUCCCAAUUUUCUGCUCCCCUCAGACUGAAGCAUAUUGUCUAGGAACCCAGAGGUGACCCCAGCCUCCCCACUGUCCUCCAGUUCUAUGGUUUGCUUUCCUGUCUUCAGUGAUCUAGUUUCCACUCCUUCUAGCUCAUGUGGCUCAUCCUCCUUACCGCAGUUCCCUCCUUCUUUCCAUAUUACAGAAAUCUGUUUCAAUCACACCAAAGCCCACGGCUUCCUCCCAAGCAACCUCCCCUCAAAGCUCUCAACCCCUUCCUUAGCUCAAAUUGUUCUUCCCCCAAAUCCUGCAUGACUCCCAGAACCCAGAUGUCUCCCUUCCUUACUUGUUGAUGAUGCUCUGACGCCUUCUUAGGUCCUCCAGGUGGUAAGUGACAGCCCUCACCCGGGCGGGGACUCCCCCAAGCCCCUGCUGCUGCAUUCCUUCCAAACAUGGCCUCCUCUUCUUUCUUCUCCAAAGCAUUUCAGGGGGUGGGAGCUGCUCAGGAGGAUACGGACCAAGCUGGGAGCAACCAGUGGCUCUCUGUGCCAGAGAAUGGGGAAAAAGAGCUAGAAAAAAGAACUGGCUCUCUCAAGGGAGCUUGGAUUGAACUAGGUAGGGAGUCCGGGGUCUUGGGAAGACGGCUGUGAUCUCGAAAACAUGAUGACUGAUUCAUAGAAAGGAAGGCCUGGUCAGUGCACUGGUUGGGGAAUAACAGAGGGAAGCGGUAAUAAGGAGAGCUUGCGACAGGAUAGCAGUGGGUGCAAUUUUAACAGAGAAGUGUUGAAUGGCAGAGGGUCUGUCUUACCAGCAUGGGUGGAAUGUGCUGCUCCUCCAGCCAAGUGGGGCUGUGAAGAACAAAAAGUGGGCUAUAAGUGCAGAGGGGACACGUCCAUCCAUAUUGCUUCUUUAAUAAUCUCUCUCAACCUCCUUUCUGUCAUUAGGAGCUACAGUAUCCACCAGCCAGUGGGAAAUUAACCUCAGACUAGGGCCUAUUGCUAUAUGGGUUUAUGGUAGUUUAAUCCAGUUAAGACCACAUCCAGUUAGUUUCCAUUUUCUCCUCUACUCACCUGGGCCUUUGACUAAGGUUCUUCCAGAAGACAUCUCCAUAACGCUGGGGCAUGGGUCUGAGGCUCUGGGAAGGCAACCUUGGGGGUGGAGAUCGGCUGACCACACUGGAACACCUGAGGUGAGGACAAGGUGAUCUCACCCAGUACCAUGCUGUCAAUAAGCUGAUGACUCCCAAAUCUAUAUAUCCAGCCCUGGUUCCUCUCUGGGCUCCACUCAACAUCUCCUCCCCAACCUUCCUCCUCUCAAUGAAAAGCACUCAAAUGCCCAGUUGCUAGGACCAAAAACAUGGUAUGUCUUACUUUCCCUCAUCUCCCACAUCUAAUCCAUCAGCAGUUCCUGUCAGUUCUACAUCUAAAAUACCGUGUACCUGAAUAUGACCACUCCUCAUCAUUCCCACUCCUACCACCAUAUAUUUCAGGUCAUCUUCUCCUUCCUGGACUGUUGCAAUAGUCUCUUCCCCCUCUCUCUGCUUCCAUUCCCAUCCCCCAACAAUAUAUUCUGCACAGAACUGUGAGAGAUGAUCAUAUGAAAUAAUAUAAGGUUUAAGAUGUACUUCGAAAGAAUUUGAGAAGUAGGGGGCUAGAUGGGUAUAGAGAUGAAAAGAUUAUCCAUAUAAUGAUGAUUAUUGAAGCUGACUGAAAAGGGUACAUGGGGUUCAUGAUACUACUUUCUCUACUGUGUUUGUUUGAAAUUUUCCAUAAUAAAGUUGAAGGAAAAAAGGCCGGUCAUGUUAUUCUCUGCCUUAAAAUUUUUCCACUGAAUAAAAUCCAAACUUUUUUUUUUCUUCUUUUUUUUUUGAGACAGUCUCACUCUGUCACCCAGGCUGGAGUGCAGUGACCCAAUUAUAGCUCACUGCAGCCUCAAACUCCUGGGCUCAAGCAAUCCUCCUGCCUCAGCCUCCUGAGUGCUGGGACUACAGGUGUGUGCCACCAUGCCUGGUUAAUUCUUUUAAAUGUUUAUCAGAGAUGAGGUCUCACUAUGUUGCCCAGGUUGGUCUCCAAUUCCUGAGCUCAAGCAAUCCUCCUGCCUUGGCCUCCCAAAGUGCUGUAAUUACAGGUGUGAGCCACCACACCCGGCCUAUACUUGUUUUAUUUAUUUUUUCUUUCUUCUUCCUGUCCUCUCUUCUCCUCCCCUCCCCUCUCUUUCCUUUUCUUUCUUCCUUUCUCUUUCUUUCUCUCCUUCUUUCCCUCCCUGCCUCCCUUCUUUCUUUUUAGAGACAGGGUCUUGCUUUGUUGCCCAGGCUGGAGUGCAGUGCUAUAAUCAUAGCUCACUGUAGACUCAAACUCUUAGGCUCAGGCAGUCCUCCCAACUUGGCCUCCCGAAGUCCUGGGGUUAUAAGCAUGAGCCACAACACUUAGCGCAGUGUUUUGUUUUUGUUUUUGUUUUUGUUUUUUGAGAUGGUGUUUCACUCGUGUUGCCCAGGCUGGAGUGCAAUGGCACAGUCUCGGCUCACUGUACCCUCUGCCUCCCAUGUUCAAGUGAUUCUCCUGCCUCAGCCUCCCAAGUAGCAGGGAUUAUAGGCACCUGCCACCACACUCAGCUAAUUUUUGUAUUUUUAGUAGAGAUGGGGUUUCACCAUGUUGGCCAGGCUGGUCUUGAACCCCUGACCUAAGGUAAUCCACCCGCCUCGGCUUCCUAAAGUGCUGGGAUUACAGGUGUGAGCCACCACACCUGAUCUCGUCUUUUUGUUUGUUUGUUUUUUGAGACGGAGUUUCACUCUUGUUGCCCAGGCUGGAGUGC
Molecule: long non-coding RNA, 3304 nt
Organism: Symphalangus syndactylus (siamang)
Lineage: Eukaryota; Metazoa; Chordata; Mammalia; Primates; Hylobatidae
Source: RefSeq, a predicted model, not a curated record